RNAcentral lists this ribosomal RNA (384 nucleotides) under Ixodes holocyclus (paralysis tick). RNAcentral's name for it is "partial small subunit ribosomal RNA". The record is from RNAcentral. Lineage: Eukaryota; Metazoa; Arthropoda; Arachnida; Ixodida; Ixodidae.
CUAGGAUUAGAUACCCUACUAUUGUAAGCUUAAUUUUGUUAGUAUAUAUUAUUUAUGAAAACAAAAAGUUUUGGCGGUAUUUUAAGCUUUUUAGAGGAAUUUGCUCUGUAAUGGAUAAAACCCCUAAAUCUUACUUAAUCUAGUUAGGAUCAGUUUGUAUACCACUAUGAUUAAUUAUAUUGAAUAAUUAAUUAUUACAAUUUUUUUAAAAAAGAAAAUUAAGUCAAGGUGCAACUUAAGAUUAUGAAUGAAGUGAAUUACAUUGAUUUUUAUAAUAAAAAUGCGAUUGAAAUAUUUUAAAAUAGGAUUUAAAAGUAAAUAAUAAAUAUUAUGUUUUAUUGAAUAAAGCUCUAAAAUAUGCACACAUCGCCCGUCGCUCUCAUU